UCGGCCUUCUUAGCCGAUAGUGUCAAAAAUUGUGGCGAGAAAGAGUCACAAAUUCAGAAUGCAAUGCCGGCCUUUCGGGCAACCAAUGCAUGGGGAAAAAAAAUCCUACUCGCCGGCGGCGCUCCUCCCCCCCAAUAUCCCAACCUCCUACUCGCCGGCGGUUCACGUCUCUCAUUCGGAAUCGGGUAGAGUUCCUCCGUUGCCACCAUUGAUUCCGGAUCCGAAGAGAUAUCGCUGUCGAUGCCGAUGGCUCUAUUUAAUCGCGGCCGCGGGAGCGACAUCUACUCGCUUUUCGAUUCGUCGCGCAGGCGCCGGUGGAGGCACCUUGCUGAUGGCCCGGAUCAGGACGGAUCGACCCCUGCGCCGGCGGCCGCGGCCGGCCCGCGGCGACGACCGGGUGAGCGCCCUCCCCGACGACCUCCUGCUCCUCGUCCUGCGCCGUCUCGACACCCGCACGGCGCUCGGCACCGGCCUGCUGUCCAGGCGCUGGGGCCGCCUCCAGCGCGAGCUCCCGGCCCUCGAUUUCCGGGUCAGCAACAUGCUCCCACCGCGCUACCAUGGCCUGGUGUUUCUUCACCACGACAAGAACAGGAAUGGAUCUCAUCGUCUAUUUAAAAAGUUCGCCUUUAUGCCAAACAUUAUGAGGUAUGAGCGCCGCGCCAUGCGCGCAUUGACCAGCUCCGUCGAGAGCUUCUUGGAUGAGGAUGGCGCUCGAGGAGCUGGCCCGAGCUUGAGCAGGCUGAGGCUCGAGUUCUUCAUCACUCACAACACCGGCUGCAUGAACAGGCUAAUCGCCAAGUGCAUCGACCAUUGGGGGGUCAGGGACCUCGAAGCUGUUGCCAGACCGAUCUACUUCCGGCAAUCCGUCCACACCUUCCCCAGCUACGGCCUCUGCCAGGAGCCUCGCGCUUCGUCCUUGCGAAGCCUCAAGCUUGGAGGCUGCACGCUCCCGCCUCUGCACGAGUUCAGCUUCGAACAGAAAAAGCUAACUGGUGUGGGGAUACAGCAAAAAACAAAGGACAGAUGCCUUGACGCCAACACCGGCGCCGCCGACUCUGCUUCACGCGCGUCUAAAAGUUUCCGAGUUGCAAGUUAGGAAACAGGACCGUGCUUAUACUACCGGCAUGUGGGAGUUCUUUCUUGACCCAUCCGCUCUCUAGAGCGAGACGCUGGGCGAGUUUGGUUGCUUGCAUCAAGGCCAAUCAAGGCCGCGCGGUGCAGCAUUUUUUUCGGACCUCGAUUGUUUGGUUCCUCGCAUAUAUUUUUGAGCCCGCAUAACAUGGUUCUUAAAGCAACUCUGAACCUGGCCCGUUGUGAACGGUCGAAUCGGCAGUUUCCCGAAAGCCAGGCCCGAGAGACGCUUCGAGGCGCACGUGGGUGGCUCUCUGGAGACGUGUGUCUCGAGUUAAUCCCUCCCUCUCUCCCUAAUCCUCAAUCCGACUCUGCAGCUCCUUGACGCUGUCGCGCCCUCGCUGGAGCGGUCGAGCCGGCCCCGCCCCUCGCCGCCAAGCCGUCUCCACGACCGACGAAGUGGCCUCCGCUGAAUCGGCCUCUACCUCGCGCCGUUUGUACCACAAGCUGCGCCUCACCGCCGCAGGCUUGCCUCUGUCGUGCCCUCAACUCGCCGGCUACGCCGCCUCAGGCCGGCCACGCCGCUUCAGCCGCCGACCCGAGCCAGUCGCGAGCCGCUCGGCCAGCCGCCGCCGCUGCGGCUUUACCUCCGCGCCCACCGAGUGACCUCUUUGUGGCCGCGCUGCUGGGGCAAGAGGCCGGCCGACCCGGACCGCGCGAGGCGGCUCGCCCGCUCCGCUGGUGCCCCUCUUCGAUCGGUUUUGUGCCAAGCAGUUGAUCCUAGAGUUCUUGGACGAGGUCGUCAAGACGCCCACCAUGCUUGCUGGCAACUCUGUGGGCAGCCUUGCUUGUGUCAUUGCCACCUCGGCUGACAACUCUGUGGGAACCCGGUCUUCUUCGUCACCGACGACCGCGUCCUCCGCUGCGGCGUCGGCGUCGUCUACUUCUUCACCCGGGAGUCCUCCUUCCAGCCGAUGGACAUCUCAUACCCGUUCGCCGCGAUGACCUCUUCCGGCACGGGCACGCCGUGCUCGCGCCGGCCAGGCCCCGCGCUGGAUCCAGUUCUGGAGCGACACCGCCUCCGACAGGCGCCGCCGCGACUCAUCGUCCUCCGAAGCCUCCACCGCAACACAUCCUCGUCAGGCUACUGCUCGCCACCUCAGAGGUCGAUGCCGCGCUGGGUCGACAACUACCUGGACAAGCUCGGAUCAGUGCUCAAGAAAGGUGGCUGGAGGGACAGGGAGGUGGACGAGAUGGUCGAGGUGGCCGCCUCGGGAAUGUUCGACGGCGAGGAGGCUCCGCCAGCCGCAGACGCGGAGGCCGUGCUCGACACACUGCUGCUGAAGACAGACCGGUGCUCAGAGUCCCUCAGGCGAGCCGGGCGCGGCCACGGCCACGGUCACCGGGAGCUGGUGGUGGGCACGAUGGGCAGUGGAAGCUCCGGCGCGCUCAAAGUGUUCAACGACACGAGAUGCCAAACCUGAUGGGUGUUAAGCUUUGUUGUUAACUCUUAAUCAUAUGCACGUACGCAACCAAACACCUGAAAAUUGCAUCUCGAUGACAAGACCCCUAAUGCAGGCAACCAAUCAACUGGCCAUCUACGUUUUUGGCCCUGUUUUUUCCUUAACCAGGCCCUGCUCGGUCAUCUGGCUCGUUUGUUGCUCUCCUAGCCAUGCCCGUUGGAGAAACUAACCAAAUACGCCCGCUGUGUUUGUUCUGCACUUCUGCUAGGCAGAGUAUGCUUCUGCUGCAGAUAAACGACAGGAAUACUGGUUCAUUCGGGUAAACAUUGCUAGACAUGCUUGGUACCGACCACGGGCUGCUUCACUGAAACAAGGGCAAUGCGCAGCGGCACUUGACGGUGUCAAAU
RNA transcript from Triticum aestivum (bread wheat), 2941 nucleotides. RefSeq lists it as uncharacterized. The record is from RefSeq and is a predicted model, not a curated record. The transcript has 2 exons. NCBI's taxonomy places the organism in Eukaryota, Viridiplantae, Streptophyta, Magnoliopsida, Poales, Poaceae.